GGCCGCCGCGCACCUGGGACCCUGAGCUGCGUGCGGCCUGGGAGAGACCGCGGAGAGCACUGAGGAAGAUCAACUAUCCUGAUGUGAACUUUUCGGAUCUUGACCAGUGGCCUUUAUCCACUCACAAGAUGGCCAGGGUCCUCCAUGGAG
RNAcentral lists this long non-coding RNA (150 nucleotides) under Urocitellus parryii (Arctic ground squirrel). RNAcentral's name for it is "lncRNA (ENSUPAG00010020460.1)". Lineage: Eukaryota; Metazoa; Chordata; Mammalia; Rodentia; Sciuridae. The record is from RNAcentral.